Non-coding RNA from Trichobilharzia regenti, 49 nucleotides. The record is from Rfam. NCBI's taxonomy places the organism in Eukaryota, Metazoa, Platyhelminthes, Trematoda, Strigeidida, Schistosomatidae.
GUACUGACGAAGAGUCCCAAACUAGUGUGACGAAACGGCCGUCCAGUAC